GACGAACGCUGGCGGCGUGCCUAACACAUGCAAGUCGAACGGAAAGGCCCUGCUUUUGUGGGGUGCUCGAGUGGCGAACGGGUGAGUAACACGUGAGUAACCUGCCCUUGACUUUGGGAUAACUUCAGGAAACUGGGGCUAAUACCGGAUAGGAGCUCCUGCUGCAUGGUGGGGGUUGGAAAGUUUCGGCGGUUGGGGAUGGACUCGCGGCUUAUCAGCUUGUUGGUGGGGUAGUGGCUUACCAAGGCCUUGACGGGUAGCCGGCCUGAGAGGGUGACCGGCCACAUUGGGACUGAGAUACGGCCCAGACUCCUACGGGAGGCAGCAGUGGGGAAUAUUGCACAAUGGGCGGAAGCCUGAUGCAGCAACGCCGCGUGCGGGAUGACGGCCUUCGGGUUGUAAACCGCUUUCGCCUGUGACGAAGCGUGAGUGACGGUAAUGGGUAAAGAAGCACCGGCUAACUACG
Molecule: ribosomal RNA, 466 nt
Filed under: uncultured bacterium
Lineage: Bacteria
Description: partial 16S ribosomal RNA
Rfam family: Bacterial small subunit ribosomal RNA
Source: RNAcentral